RNAcentral lists this ribosomal RNA (775 nucleotides) under uncultured Neocallimastigales. RNAcentral describes it as "partial large subunit ribosomal RNA". It matches the Rfam family "Eukaryotic large subunit ribosomal RNA", at positions 24 to 628 of the family's 3401-position model. Lineage: Eukaryota; Fungi; Neocallimastigomycota; Neocallimastigomycetes; Neocallimastigales. The record is from RNAcentral.
UAUCUCUGUAGAGUCUGCAUAUCAAUAAGCGGAGGAAAAGAAACUAACUAGGAUUCCCUCAGUAACGGCGAGUGAAGCGGGAAGAGCUCAAAUUUGAAAUCUUCAAGGUUCUACCUUGACGAAUUGUAGUUUAAAGAAGUGUUUUCUGUUGGAGUUUUGGUAAAAGUUCUUUGGAAUAGGACAUCAUAGAGGGUGAGAAUCCCGUAUUUGACCAUUAUUUCCAGCUUUGUGAUACACUUUUAAAGAGUCGGAUUGUUUGGGAAUGCAGUCCAAAAUGGGUGGUAAAUUUCAUCUAAAGCUAAAUACUGGCGAGAGACCGAUAGCGAACAAGUACCGUGAGGGAAAGAUGAAAAGAACUUUGAAAAGAGAGUUAAACAGUACGUGAAAUUGUCAAAAGGGAAGCGUUUGACACCAGUGUUGUUUUCUCGAAAAUCAAUUAAAAAAGGCAGGAUUUUGUGUUGUAUUGACUUUAUCAGCCUUCUGCACUCUUUUCUUGUCUUUUUUAAUGCACUUUUCGUUUAACAAGUCAACAUCAAUUUCUUUUGUUGUAAAAGGGUCAUUGGAAGGUGGCUUUCCUUUUCGGAGAAAGUGUUUAUAGCCUUUGGCCUCUGCAAUCGGAGAGAUUGAGGUCUGCAGCGUAGAUCCUUCGGGGUUAGAUACAUUUGUGCUAAGUUAUAGCCUUUCAUAGACAACUUGUUGACUAUGAUCAGUCAUGUAGCUUACUCGCUUAUGCUAUUUUACCUACGCUUAGGAUGUUGACGAUCAGCUGAGCGCG